This is a long non-coding RNA of Lolium rigidum, 2039 nucleotides long. RefSeq lists it as uncharacterized. The transcript is spliced from 7 exons. Lineage: Eukaryota; Viridiplantae; Streptophyta; Magnoliopsida; Poales; Poaceae. The record is from RefSeq and is a predicted model, not a curated record.
UCGAUGCCUACAAGGUGCUCGAUGAAAAUCCAGGUAGACUGUCCUCGAUGAAAUAUAUGAGAAAAAAUUUAGGAAAAGAUAAUUGGUGAUAUGUUCAGUCAAAGCAAAAGAGAAAGUAAGAAUCAAGAGAGAGAAGAAAUAAUUUUGAUUCAGCCACCAUGAUUAGUUUGGUAUAUAUUUUUUUGCCUGUAGUAUAUAAAUAAAUGCAUAUUGGAUUUUUACCUCUCGUAUUUGAGGGUGGAAUCUCCAGCCUGCUCUGAAGGGCAUCGCGUCGGAGGCAAGUGUUUGCCCUUACUUGCCCAGAGGCAACUGAUGGCCUCCUGGACAGAAUGUGCAAAAGUAAUAUCAAUGCUAAUAGUUGUGCAAAAGAAAUAUCCUUCCAGUAUGUAGCAUAUCCAAAAUACUACUUGCUAAUGGUUUAUUUGUUUUGGGGUUAACUUUUUUCAUGGACUGAUAUUAGUUUCCUUUGCCCUAAAUCACUCUACAAAAAAAUGCGCAAAAGAAAUAUUAAUGCUUUAUGUUGCAAAGUUGUUUUGGUUUAAGCACAAGCAAGUGGAUUUUCUACUUGCAAGGUUGUUUGUUAGUUUGCUUUUGGACAAUGCAAGCCAGUCAGGUGGUAGGUGUCAUUGAUUUUAGAGCUCAUGACUCAUGACUAAAAUCGGGUACCUUUUCUAGGUAAAUUGUGUCUCCUUUAAUUCGUGGUAUGGGUUACUUAAAUUAAUUCAGUAUCAAAGAUGCUUCGAGUGGUGAGGAACUUGACUGCUUCAUCAUAGAGAUGUUGAAGAUCUACUGUUCUUACAGUAUAAGUUGCCUACAAUAUUGUUGGAUUCCUUUCUCACAUCAAAAUAUAGGUAAACUACUGGUCUUCAUAAUCGACUGCAAAACAAGAAAAGCUUAAUUACCUGAAAUAUAUAUCAGAGUGAAGGCACUUAUUCCAGGUUUUGCAUAUUCUAUCAUUGCAGCUUUAGUUCCAUGGUUCCACCCAACCUGGCGACAUUUGCACCACUCGCAGGUACACAAACUUCUCCCUUCUUUCAUGAUAUCAAAUGUUGGAUUAGUCCUGGUCCUGCUGAAUCAUACUUUUCAUUGGAAAAUUUGGGCAUGAGAAGGAAAAAAAAUAUUUGCACCGGCUCUGGCGUGUGCCACAUGUUUGACAGGCAUAUGCCAUGGGAUUCAAUGAAGAAGAGGAGCAGGUGUUGUGCACGGUCGUCGCUGAAGCGCCUAGGCCCUAGCAGCUGAAUCUGAGAAGCAUUUGGCAUGUACCAAGAUCUCAAAGAUGCAGAAGAAAAAGCCACUACAGACCAUCUUUGUCUUUUGAAGGCUCUGCUUCCACUCCGACAGGUUCCUCCGCCCCGCUGUGACGGACUUUCCUUUGCUUCGACGAUGUCGUCUGCUCUAGCGGCAACAUGGCGGGAGACAUCAUCCUCUAGCAAUGCCAACUAGCUGCAGGCCCCUCUCUGCCGUCACUUGACUGCUAGAAGUGACAUCUACAUCUUUGGUGUGCUCUUUCUUGGGGCGAAAAUCCAUCGACAAGUACUGGCCCAGCAGCGAGCGCAACCUGGUCAACUGGGUUCGUCCCAAGUUGAGCUACAAGAGGCGGCUUCUCCAAAUCAUCGACCCAAAACUAGAGGCGGAGUAUUCAGAUAGAGGUGCUCACAAGGCCUGCAGCCUUGCAUAUUGGUGCCUGAGCUAGAACCCCAAGGCUAGGCUCCUCAUGAGCGAUGUCGUCGAGAUGCUUGAACCACUGCAAGAAGGUGGUGGAAGCGAUGGACCUAUUGUUCACGUGGGUGGCCUCCCCGACUACAGAAUUUGCCGCAUGUUGAUAGGAUACAACGUGCACUGCAUGGCCAUUCCCAGCCCCAAGUGCCCACCUGUCAUCCCGACGUGCAGGGUUAGAUGAUAACAACUUCUGCAGUUCCAGGUUUUACCUGCAGCAGCAGUAGGUCAAGUUGUAAAUUGUGAGCUCUUUCAAUGUGUAAAUUUGAUCCGCACAUCGCUGCUGCGUUUUGUUUCUGCCGCUUAUAAGGACCUUCAGUUUU